GGUAGCAUGGACGAGCGGUCUAAGGCGCUGGUUUAAGGCACCAGUGAUUUCGAUGGCGUGGGUUCGAAUCCCACUGCUGCCA
Molecule: non-coding RNA, 82 nt
Organism: Ciona savignyi (Pacific transparent sea squirt)
Lineage: Eukaryota; Metazoa; Chordata; Ascidiacea; Phlebobranchia; Cionidae
Source: Rfam